CAGCAGCCGCGGGAAAACGGAGGGUGCAAGCGUUAAUCGGAAUUACUGGGCGUAAAGCGCACGCAGGCGGUUUGUUAAGUCAGAUGUGAAAUCCCCGAGCUCAACCUGGGAACUGCAUUUGUGACUGUAUAGCUAGAGUACGGCAGAGGGGGAUGGAAUUCCGCGUGUAGCAGUGAAAUGCGUAGAUAUGCGGAGGAACACCGAUGGCGAAGGCAAUCCCCUGGGCCUGUACUGACGCUCAUGCACGAAAGCGUGGGGAGCAAACAGGAUUAGAUACCCGCGUAGUCCCUGUCUCUUAUAC
Molecule: ribosomal RNA, 301 nt
Filed under: uncultured bacterium
Lineage: Bacteria
Description: partial 16S ribosomal RNA
Rfam family: Bacterial small subunit ribosomal RNA
Source: RNAcentral